GAUGAACGCUGGCGGCGUGCCUAAUACAUGCAAGUCGAGCGAACAGACGAGGAGCUUGCUCCUUUGACGUCAGCGGCGGACGGGUGAGUAACACGUGGGUAACCUACCUAUAAGACUGGGAUAACUUCGGGAAACCGGUGCUAAUACCGGAUAAUAUUUCGAACCGCAUGGUUCGAUAGUGAAAGAGGGCUCUGCUAUCACUUAUAGAUGGACCUGCGCCGUAUUAGCUAGUUGGUAAGGUAACGGCUUACCAAGGCAACGAUACGUAGCCGACCUGAGAGGGUGAUGGGCCACACUGGAAGUGAGCCACGGUCCAGACUCCGACGGGAGGCAGAGGUAGGGAAUCGUCCGCACUGGGCGAAAGCCUGAAGGAGCAACGCAGCGUGAGUGAUGAAGGUCUUCGGAUCGUAAGACUCUGUUAGUAGGGAAGACCAAACGUGUAAGUAACUGUGCACGUCUUGACGGUACCUAAUGAGAAAGCAACGGCUAACUACGUG
This 497-nucleotide ribosomal RNA is filed under the name uncultured bacterium. RNAcentral describes it as "partial 16S ribosomal RNA". It matches the Rfam family "Bacterial small subunit ribosomal RNA", at positions 28 to 507 of the family's 1533-position model. The record is from RNAcentral.